CUGAUUUCGGCUCAGGUCAUGAUCUCAUGGUCCGUGGGUUCGAGCCCCACAUCAGGCUCUGUGCCGACAGCUCAGAGCCUGGAGCCUGCUUCAGAUUCUGUGUCUCCCUCUCUCUCUGCCCCUCCCCACUCACACUCGGUCUCUCUCUCUCUUUCAAAAAUAAACAUCAAAAAAUUUUAAAAAAAUAAAAAAGGAACAGAAACUUAAACAAGUAGAAAAUCUACUGAUGACUUUCAUUAGACGAACCAAGGAAAUAAUUCGAACCUAGUAAUAACCGUGACAAAAUAUUGCUUACUAAUGAUGAUGCUAAUUAGUACCUUCUUUUUCAUGUAGCAUCUUUCCCUUGCUAAAAAGUUGCCAAAUUUACAAAUUUAUGGAUUGCGCCAUACAAAGACGUGUGAAGCCUUGUUGUGUGGACCGACUUCGGCUUUAGGUCCCCACUUAAAACAGAAGGAAUAGAGCCGAAUGGGACGGUGGAUCUUUCCUGGGUCUAAAGCUGUCAUCCGUCCACGUGCCCCCGCCUGGGCACGGAGGACCAAGGAUGACCCCAGGGCCGAAUCAGCCAGCGGGCCUGGUCCCUAAGGCCUCAUGCAAAGUACGCUGGAUCUGAUACGUUUCAAAAACACAGAUUUAUGCUUUUCUUUUGGAUUCUUAGACCGGAAAUACCUGGCAAAUACCCGUGUUACACGCCGGCCCCCCUCCUGCCAGCUCUGGAGCAGCCAGCCACGGUCCAGCCCGUUAGUGGCACUCUGGUGGCAAACAGGGAUUCUGAAGAGCUCCUCCUCCAUUCGGGUCAGCUGUGACGAUGGGUCUUAGGAAACUCGUUUUCCCAGCAUUUUGUUUCUCAUCGUGGGUAGGAAGUGUGAGCUGGGCAGCCGUGCCUCCUGCUGAUUGUAACAAGCACAAAGGCCGAGGGAGCAGAAGCGGUGAGAACAGCAGAGUCAGCUCCGAUGGGGGAGACACCUGGCUUCCGCCUUCUGCUGAAGCCUGUCUCCGGUGCAGCUGGGAUCAUCGCCGGAGUCUGAUUCACACGUCAGCACCUGAAUCGGCAGCUUUAUCCUGUCAGGAGAGAAUUGCGACAAGAAUUGCAUUCCGAACGACAGGCAAAGCAAUGAUUCAUACUUAAUUCUUAUAAUGAAGUUUGUAGACUAAGAGCUAGUCAACCUAAGCAUUACGGGACAAAGGGAAAGGCAACUAGGAUCUGACACCUAUGUGGAACUAACUACUUCAGUCUUCGAGGGAGAGACAUCGUCCUUCCUGUGGGAGAGAAGAGAGGGCCUCCCGCUUACCCAAGCUGAUGUAGAAAUACGUGGCAUUAGCAUUUAGAGCAAACCCUUGGCCAGAAGAGAGGCGAAGACGACUAAUAUGAAGCAUGGACGAAAUAAAGAGCAGAUAAAGCAUGAAGAAGAUUAACA
RNAcentral lists this long non-coding RNA (1415 nucleotides) under Felis catus (domestic cat). RNAcentral describes it as "lncRNA (ENSFCAG00000040460.2)". The record is from RNAcentral. Lineage: Eukaryota; Metazoa; Chordata; Mammalia; Carnivora; Felidae.